This 440-nucleotide ribosomal RNA is filed under the name uncultured bacterium. Its description in RNAcentral is "partial 16S ribosomal RNA". It matches the Rfam family "Bacterial small subunit ribosomal RNA", at positions 338 to 795 of the family's 1533-position model. The record is from RNAcentral.
CCUACGGGAGGCAGCAGUGGGGAAUAUUGGACAAUGGGGGGAACCCUGAUCCAGCGACGCCGCGUGAGUGAAGAAGUAUUUCGGUAUGUAAAGCUCUAUCAGCAGGGAAGAAAAUGACGGUACCUGACUAAGAAGCACCGGCUAACUACGUGCCAGCAGCCGCGGUAAUACGUAGGGGGCAAGCGGUAUCCGGAUUGACUGGGGGUAAAGGGAGCGCAGGCGGCCUUGCAAGUCUGAUGUGAAAUACCGGGGCUCAACCCCGGAGCUGCAUUGGAAACUGUGAGGCUGGAGUGUCGGAGAGGCAGGCGGAAUUCCUAGUGUAGCGGUGAAAUGCGUAGAUAUUAGGAGGAACACCAGUGGCGAAGGCGGCCUGCUGGACGAUGACUGACGCUGAGGCUCGAAAGCGUGGGGAGUAAACAGGAUUAGAUACCCCAGUAGUC